This 343-nucleotide small nuclear RNA is filed under the name Octodon degus (degu). RNAcentral's name for it is "7SK RNA (ENSODEG00000023940.1)". It matches the Rfam family "7SK RNA". Rfam says of the family: 7SK was discovered as an abundant small nuclear RNA in the mid-70s but a possible function has only recently been suggested. Two independent studies have found that 7SK RNA binds the CDK9/cyclin T complex (known as elongation factor P-TEFb). The record is from Rfam by way of RNAcentral. Lineage: Eukaryota; Metazoa; Chordata; Mammalia; Rodentia; Octodontidae.
GGAUGUGCGGGUGAUCGGGUUGCAAUAUCUGUCACACUGUUGAUUACCAAGGUUGAUUCAACUGAUCUGGAUGGCUAGGCAGGUGUCCCCUUCCUCCCUCAGCAUGCCAUGUGCAUCCCUCCCAAAGCUGCGCACUCGGUAGAAGAGGAAGACCACCCCCGAUAGAAGAGGAUUACUCCUCUCUCAAAUGUAUAUGGGUAGCUGUGCUCCCCUGCUAGAACCUCUAAACAAGGUCUCAAGAAGAUAAUGUGUUGAUAAGUCAAGUAGGAGAAAAGAAACUUGUUUAAUCUAGCAAGAACAUAGCAACGUAACUCUGAAGAGGUAAAGUUAUUUGUUGCCUGCU